GACGGCGACACCUUCGGCGCCGCCACAGGGGCGCGGCCCCCGCCGGAGCCCCCCGAGGAGGCGGCGGCCACAGAAGGUUCUGGAGCGGCGCCGGGACAGGGAGCGUGCCCAGAGCUGGCAGCGACCGACCCUGUCCCCCAGGCCCCCACGCUCUGUGCCCGGGACCCCCAGAGCCACCAGCUGGGGGGGACCAAUGGGCAGCCCCAGGAUGGCCCUGGGGGUGACAGUGAUGGUGACAAUGACCUGGAGCUCAGCACUGGGACGGUGGGGAGCGCUGACGGCCACAGCGAGCCGGACGCUGCAGCCACCGGCCUGGGGACACCAGUGACACCGACCCCCCCGGAUGAGAUGGACACUGCGGCCAGUGAUGUGGUGACACCCAGCCUGAUGGACUCGCUGGCCACUGACCUGGUGACACCAGGGACACCAACCCCCCUGGAUGAGAUGGAUGCUGCAGCCACCAGCCCGGUGACACCCAGCCUGCCCGACGAGCCGGACACUGUGGCCACUGACAUGGUGACACCAGAGACACCAACCCCGCUGGACGCUGCAGCUGCUGAUCCAGUGACAGCCAGCCUGAUGGACAGCACGGCCACCAGCCUGGUGGCACCCAGCCCGUCAGAUGCUGCAGCCCCUGAUGUCGUGGCGUUGGUGACACCCAGCUGCCCAGAUGAGCUGGACACCGUGGCCACCAGCCUGGUGACACCAGUGGCACCAAGCCCACCAGAUGAGCCGGACACCGUGGCUGUGGACCUGGUGACACCCAGCUCCCCAGAUGAGCCCGACACUGUGGCCACCAGCCUGGUGACACCAGUGACACCAAGCCCACCAGAUGAGCUGGACACCGUGGCCACGGAUCUGGUGACACCAACCCCACUGGUGACACCUGGCUCCCCAGAUGAGCCUGACACUGUGGCCACCAGCCUGGUGACACCAGUGGCCCCGAGCCCACCACAUGAGCUGGAUAUCACGGCCACUGACCUGGUGACACCUAGCCUGCUGGACAAGAUGGAAGUUGUGGACACUGUCCUGGUGACACCAGUGACAUCCAACCUGCAGGAUGCUGUGGCCACUGACAUGGUGACACCAGUGACACCUCCCCUGAUGGCCACUGCGGCCACCAGCCCGGUGGCAUCAGUGACACCACCCGCCCUGGAUGAGAGUAACACUGCGGCCAUCGACCUGGUGACAUCAGUGACACCUGCCCUGAUGGACACCCCGGACGCUGCCCCAGUGACCCCGAGCGUGAUGGACACCACGGACACCGAGCCGGUGACAUCGGUGACACCAACCUCCCAGCAUGAGACGGCCGCCGUGACCACUGAUGCGGCGACCCCCGGCCCUGUGGACACCAUGGCCACCGAGCCGGUGGCCCCCAGCCCCCUGGCCGCUGUCCCUGCCCCACGUCCCCCUGCCCGGGCUGUGUCCCCCGUGGCGCUGGCAGCCGGGGCGGCCCCAUCCCACGAGUCCCCGGCUGUCCCCCCGCGUCCCCUGGCACAGGCGACGCUCUCACAGCCCCCUGGGGAUGUCCCUGAGGAGUCGGGGGACGCGGCCACCGCCUCGGCCGAGGGUUUGUCCCCGGAGCUGCCGGACGCGUCGCGCUCCCGCACCGACUCCAGCUUUGUCACCGGCACCGGAGAGGCCCCGCCGAGCCCCGCCGGGCCCCGCGGAGAGCCCGAGGAGGAGGAAGAAGAGGAUGAGGAUGCGGCCCCCGCGCCCCCCUCGCCGCGGUUCACGGCCUCGGAGCGGGAGGUGUUUGUGGGGACCCCCCCGGCCCCCCCCGAACUGCUCCCACCACCCGGUGCCUUCUCGAGGCGCGGGGCCGGGCCGGGCGUCACCGCCCCGCUCCGGGGGGCCCCGGGGGUCCUGCCC
This is a long non-coding RNA of Chloebia gouldiae (Gouldian finch), 1872 nucleotides long. The record is from Ensembl. NCBI's taxonomy places the organism in Eukaryota, Metazoa, Chordata, Aves, Passeriformes, Passeridae.